AAAAAAAAAAAAAAAAAAAUGUCUCUGACCUAAAUUUUUGCUUUUUCCAAGGACAAUGCAGGCUCUAGCAUUGCUGCCAACGUAGUGGAAACAUGAAUAUUCUAACUCAAAUCACCAUUUCUCCUGUGUCACCUGCAUCAAAACCUUUGAGAGCUCUCCCAUAUUUUACCCAAAGCCUUCAAAAUGUUUUAAUUUACAAGACCCUAAUAUCCCAAUACCAAUUUGUUGUUUUCCGAGAGCUCCAAGGAUCAUUUCACCCCUCACUAAUCAGAAAAGUAAAAUAGCUUUAUCUUUGGAUUAUUGCAUGGGACCUCAACACGCAAUAAAGCACACAGAUACUAUUUAGGAACACAAGGAAUAAACAGCAAAUGCAGAGGAUCAAAUAAUGGGAGUUGUUGUUUCUGGUCAUAUACCUUAGGAAAAGAUAUCUGAUUCUUCAAAGCUUCAUUCUGCAUGGGAAAAGGUUGUCUGGGGUAUGUUGUCAACUACAGAUAAAGCAUGAUCUGAUAUACAUUGGUUGUUUGGCAAAGAUCACUUCCAGUUCAAAUACCAACAAAUUAGGCAAAUAUUGAGCUCAACCUCAGGGUUAUACUUAUAACAUGUGCUUUGAACACCUGAAACAGCAACUGUCACCUAGUACAAGUCCCAGGCCAUACUCAUUGACACAACCUAUAGGACUUUAUAGAUGCUAUUUGCAAUGAUUGAGUGGGCAUUUGACAAAAAUUGAGGCUGUUAUAGACAUGGGACAUGGCCCUGUCAUUCUAGGUAAUAAACUAUAAUUAAUGUAUCACCACAAGCGAUUUCUGUUGAACAAAACAACUAAAUUUAGAGUGAAAACUUACAAAAAGAUUUUUGUGCAUUUCAGUUUUACAAAUUUUCAAUUAAGAAAUUAAGUUUAAAAGAACCAAAAAGAAAAGAAAAGGCAACGAGUUGAAUUUUGUUUUUUCCAACAAGGAAAUGGUUGUUAUGUGUGUGUAGCACCCAGUUUCAUACAUGUGCUUGUCUUUUCAUUUCUUCCUGAACAUUGUACCCUGUAUCCUUCUUUCUAUUGGUUUUCUGUUUCACAGCAGUUUCUUGAAAUUACAUGGGAUAGAGUAUGUAGCUUUGUAUUUACAGGAUUCUGC
Molecule: unclassified non-coding RNA, 1124 nt
Filed under: Hevea brasiliensis (rubber tree)
Lineage: Eukaryota; Viridiplantae; Streptophyta; Magnoliopsida; Malpighiales; Euphorbiaceae
Source: RNAcentral